GCAGACUAUACUCAUCGGAGUUAGCUUUUUAUCCUUCCUGCUGUUAACCAAGUACAUUGGGAAAAAGAACAAGAAGUUCUUUUGGGUGCCUGCAAUAGCUCCUUUGAUAUCAGUUAUUCUCUCCACCUUUUUCGUUUAUAUAACACAUGCAGAAAAGAAAGGAGUCCAGAUUGUGAAAAACAUUGAGAAAGGAAUCAAUCCCUCAUCGGUAAAUCAAAUUUAUUUCACUGGUGACUAUCUUCU
Gossypium raimondii (Peruvian cotton) is the source of this 243-nucleotide long non-coding RNA. RefSeq lists it as uncharacterized. The record is from RefSeq and is a predicted model, not a curated record. The transcript is spliced from 3 exons. Lineage: Eukaryota; Viridiplantae; Streptophyta; Magnoliopsida; Malvales; Malvaceae.